Molecule: small nuclear RNA, 370 nt
Filed under: Fukomys damarensis (Damara mole-rat)
Lineage: Eukaryota; Metazoa; Chordata; Mammalia; Rodentia; Bathyergidae
Description: 7SK RNA
Rfam family: 7SK RNA
About the family: 7SK was discovered as an abundant small nuclear RNA in the mid-70s but a possible function has only recently been suggested.
Source: Rfam by way of RNAcentral
GGCUGUGAGGGCGAUCUGGCCGUGACAUCUGUCACCCCAUUGAUCGCCAGGGUUGAUUCCGCUGAUCUGGCUGGCUAGGCGGGUGUCCCCUUCCUCCCUCACCACUCCAUGUGCGUCCCUCCUGAAGCUGCAUGCUUGGUAGAAGAGGACAACCAGCCCUGAUAGAGGAGGACCGUUUCCUCAGUCAAGGGUGUAUGAGUAGCUGAACUCCCCUGCUAGAACCUCCAAGCAAGCUCUCAAGACUGGUGGAAGAGGCCACCUAGCACAGAAAGGUGCCUAGGUUUACUCAGGAAGGAAGGAAGAAGUGAGAGAGGCAGGGAAUCAAGAGUUAAUUCUUUCCCACUGACUCAUCUUAAAUUGGGCUCUCAGU